CUCACCCCCACCUGCUCCCUCUAAAUCUUCCUGUGAUGGCUGAACCGCCAUGGCAGCACGUGGCCUGAAACGCACAGCAUGAAACAGCACCCAGCCGCAACGGAGCACUUCCUCACAAAGAAGAAAAGAAAGCCACACGCCCAAGAACAGGAGAGAGGAGCAGCCAGAAGCAAGUAGAAGUGACGUCUCCAGCCAUGAGGCCCGCGGGAACAAGCACGUGAGUCCCACGCACAUGGCCGAACCCCCCGCUGCUCCACUUCCUCCUGGGGCCCCCUCCUCAGUGAAGCUGGGGCAGACGCGGGACUGGAAUCACAUCCCAGGAUCUCUGGAGCUCUGGUUUCACAGACACUGUGAGCACCGGGUGCCGAGUCACCCAGAGCCUUGGUCCAUGGCUCACGACAAAGGAAGCAGGGUGACACAAGGAUAGUGAUGCCCUGGGGACGGCGCAGAGGCCUGUCUACCACCCAUGCGUCCAAGAACGAAGGCUCCCCGCGCAAGGGGGUCCCCGGGGUGGGGUGGAAAGCCUGCAAUUACUGCUGAUGACAACCUUCGGGCCAGCUCCAUGGUGCGGUUUAUGGAGACUCUGAGCCGGACACACAGAGGUUCGCUGCGGGAUGAAAGGCCAGCUGGAAGGGCAUGAUGGGCAGGGGACGGGCACGGCCUGGGAAAAGGACACAAACGCACGAAUGUCAUCAGUCUGGGCUGGUGGCUGCUGGGUGCCAUCCUUCCAUCCCACACCCACUGCCUGGGGUCAAGACUUGUCCUGCACCCGGGGAAGGAGUGACCACAACACCCUGGGCUCCUGGCACCGCUUGUCCCCUCUAAGCUCCCACUCCAGCCUCAAUGGUCCAUCCUAACGUGGUUCCCCAUGGCCCCCAGCAGGAACCAUAAACUCACAUGCCCUUGGGGACCAGGCUGGGGACCAAGGAGUGAAGGAGGCUGGUGGGAGACAAUAGGGAGUGGUGGAGACUGUGAACAACGGGAGACCACAGGCCCCUGACACUGGGCAGCUGUCACUCAGCUCCAACUCGUGCUCGUCAUGCAGGAUUGUGGGUCCAGGGCUGCCAGAGUUUUCCAUUGUUCAAGUAAGUCAGAAAGCUGGAUUGUUUUUAAUCCUGAUUUCUAAAUAUUGCAAUUCCAACAAAAC
Equus asinus (donkey) is the source of this 1147-nucleotide long non-coding RNA. NCBI's taxonomy places the organism in Eukaryota, Metazoa, Chordata, Mammalia, Perissodactyla, Equidae. The record is from Ensembl.